UUGACUUGACCUCGGAUCAGGUAGGGAUACCCGCUGA
RNAcentral lists this ribosomal RNA (37 nucleotides) under Biatriospora sp. MUT 4902. RNAcentral describes it as "partial 28S ribosomal RNA". Lineage: Eukaryota; Fungi; Ascomycota; Dothideomycetes; Pleosporales; Biatriosporaceae. The record is from RNAcentral.